GCCGGCCCGGCGCGGGGCAUGGCGGGAGGCGGGCGGGGUCGGUGCUGCUCCGGAGCAUCGUCUGUGUGUUGGGCCUGCACAGUCCAGAGCGAUGAUUUUCUGUCUUUUAGUUGAGGUCUAGGGAAGAUAGAUAGUCUUGCUGUAAGCAGCCGUUCAUUUUUUAUGAGACACCGGAACACUCUUACUGGGGCAGUAAUGUCCCAGCUGUGACUGCACAGCCUCCUGUUGGGAAUCUGCCUCUGGGGCAUAUGUGGGAGGCUGCUCCUCUGAGGCGAGGAGUGGAAGGCUCUGUUUUCCUGCUUGAAUAAAGACUCUGUGCCCCUUGGAAACAAAACUCCGGCGCUAUGUUCUGUGGAUGACGCCAAACCAAAUCCUGCCUUGUGUUUUUGCACAUCUAUCUGUGCAUACGGACAGGAUCUGAAGGGACUGACUGUAUAUUUGAAUGCAGGUUCUUACUUCCACUUCUGAAGGGAGUAUGGGUGGAGGAGAGAGAAAACAAAAAGAUGGCCAUAGCAGGAAGGAAGCAGCACAGCGAGAUGUGGGUGGGAGGUUGAAAGCUGAGAGACCGCUGAAAAUUGCAUGGGUUUCUGUACUCGACCUGUCUGUACCUUUUCUUCAUGGCAGAUAAAAUCUGUUUGGAAAUGCUUCGCAACUAUUUUGACCCAUUUCAUACUGUGUUUGCCUUUAAUGUCUUUCACACAGUAUUUUCAUUAGGUCUGCGUAGUCUUAUGGAAACCACAGGCUGGAUGUGACACAGAAAUCCCAGUCCUGAGGAAUCUGGGGAAAGUCUGAACAUAAGGCUACUGACAGUGUUUCUUGCUGCGUGUUUCAUCUGAAUAUCAGCUGUCAUAAGAAGUCUCAAUACAUACAUGGUCACCUCUUUCAGGCCUGUUUAGCUUUAUGAGUGAAAUACUUAAAAUAAACAUUUGAUUGCAUGAGGUUACAGAUCAAAUAUUUUUAUUUUUAUUUGUAUUACAUAUAUUUGUAGAAAUGUGAAUGUAAAACCGAAUGUUUGAUCUGAAGCAGCUCCCAGACAAUUCAUUAGGUGGUCCGAGGAAAUCCUCAGCGAGAAACAAGAUUUUUGUUUGUACGGUUGACAGAGGAAUCUAAUGCAAUACUAGAUAAGUAAAUAUUUAGCAGUUGUCAUAGCAAAUUAAAACAGUCUGUCUUGGGUGAACCUAAGAUUAUUUCUGUUCAAUAGCCACCAGCCUAAUACUAAUAUGGAGAUGUGCUCUUUGGGUUCAUGGUGUACCCAAGUAUGCAGGUUGCAUUAAUUAAAUUAUUUAACUAAAUAAUUAAUUAAAAAUGCAUUUGCUAGGGGUUGUAAGAUUAGCUGAUGUCAUAAAUCAUCCCUGCAAGUCAUAAAAGAGGUUUGAAGGGGAAAAAAAAAAAAAAAAAAAAAAAAAAAGGACUAGAAAGCUGAUUUUUCUGCCUUCCUAAAUACCACAGAAGUUACAUAGUUGUCACUGACCUGGUGCCCAUCUGAUGCAAGCCAAUACGUAUGUUGUUGCAAAUGCUUAGGUUUGGGCUAAAGCCAAAGUUUUAUUAGUUUUCUGUGCCCUUGUCUUUAUUAAGGAGAGUUUCUGAUUAACCUCACAGUGGCACAGUUGUCCCUUUGAGGAGAGAAGAUCAGAACUCGUACGACAGCUGAGUGAUGUUAGCAGAAAGAGGAAGCACAGGCAGCUCUACAAACGGAUUUGUGUAUAUAGCCACACUGCCCAUGCCUAUCAGCCUCUCACCUGACUGUCUCUUAACCCAUCAUUAAAUCCAAUUUAGUAAAGAGUAAGAGGGCUCAGAGGCACGAUAUUCUCACACCUUUCCUGAAAAUGAGUGCUCUGGGAGAAAAGAGAUUGAUUUAGCUCCCAAAUGAAGAGACAGUGCUGUGCGUAUGUUCUUCCCUGAAACAGUGGCAGCUGGCCAUGAGUAUUGGUCAGCGUGUUAGAUGAUAGGUCACAGCACAUUUUAUCAGCACAUAUAAUCUCUUAUCUUAGUCAAACAAGAGAGAUGUGGGAGCCGUGAGUAUUCAGAACGUGGUUCACUUACGGGAGAUGGCGCAGAUGGCCAGACCAACUAGGCAGGCGUCCUGCUGAGCAUAUCAGUUAAAAGGCAUGAGUUUGGGUAAUUUCAUCAAGCCACCCGGCACCAGGUUCUGCAGCCACCUCUGUUGACACAACUGAUGCGGAUGCAAAACACAGGGUGGAGCUGAUCAGAUCAGGAGCAGGCAUGUUGAAUGGAGCAGAUAAAUUAUCCUGAUUGGAGCUGUCUUUGCUGCCCAAAGGCAGUAGCACAUGGAUCCACAGCCUUCACGUGUAAUAUCGAUUGUACACAAUGGGAAAAAAUGCUGUUUUCUUCUCAUGGGUAUAUAGAGAAGAAAGAGAAGAGAAGAAAAAAGGUGGACAUCUUGGGUAAGGAGAUGGUGCUUGUUAGCUUUUCACUUAUUACAGUCCUUGUCUGUUCUGGGCAACAUCAGAGAAUUGUGGAUGUUCUGAGGUCAAAGGCGCUGAGAAUAUAAGAUAUAUUAAAAAAAAAAAAAAACAACACAUUGGAAGGGGUUUGUUCUCCCAGUUUCCUUAGGCUUCUGUCACUGAGCUGCCAGCCAUCACCCUUUGGCUUUUGAAGUCAGUGACCAAUUUCAGCCAUAUGUGCAAGAGGAUAGAGAUCUCAAAGACAAUUAACGUCUUACAAGCUUUGCAAAAAAAAACAAAAACAAAACAACACUUGGCUGGAGGAGAAAGGGGAAUGAUUCUCCAGCAGCGGGGAAGGUGAGCAGAAGUCAGCUGCCUCCCUUCCCCAGUUAGCCACAGCCUGUGCCCACUCCCUGAGGGGACCCGAGAUGGCUGCAGGGAAGCAGCUUUAGGGAACAAAAGACACAGGUCUUUACUGGACCAGACUCCGUUGCUUGUGCUGCUCAGCAAAGUGUUCGUUGUUUUCCCGUUAGCAGCUACUGAGCUUUUCUGACAUACAGCUGAGAGCUCGCUAGCUCAGAAUUCUCUGGCAAUGCCAAGUAUCUAUUUGGUUUCCAUUAUGAGGUCAAAAUAAAGCAAUUGAAAAAGAAAUUGAGAAAUAACUUCCUAAAUAGCUUGAAGGAAACAGGAGAAAAGAGCUCCCCUUUUUCUGCUUCCCUCUUCAGCGGAUAUCAGGCUCCCAGUACCCCGGAGCGCACCACCUAUGAAUGGAUGGAACAUGAUAGCCUAUUUUUAAUUACCUCCUUUAUUUGCAGUUCUGCAAAACAAAGGAAUUUGAAAGCCUAAAGCCAAGCUUGCAAAAGGAAAACCUAGGUGUUCUUAAGGCUGAAUUCUCCACUCUCCAUCCUCGCUCUGCGCUGGUUCCCUUUUUCAUUCUGACUUUUGAAUCUGCCCUGAUGCCCUCAUCUGACACAGCAACUACAUCAGGGAGAGAGAAAACAGGAUAGGCUUUCACUUUUGUCUGGCAGCACAAGCUUGCAUUCUGUGCUUCGGAGGUUUUCAGAGGCUCUUUAUUCUAUGUAAUGUUCCUGGAGUGGAGAAGCGUAUCUUUUGUUCUUCCUUAUAAAGGGAUAUUUUUAUACACAAAGAUAUACAGUACACUGAAUUACAAGAGUGUUUUAUGUUUUGGAUUGUGAGCCUUUAACGUAGAAAUUUCUUGCCAUUCUAUAAUAUAGCUUUAUCCAAAGCAUUUAACUUCAAAACCUUUAAAGCACAGAUGAAUCAAAGCCUCAAAAUCCAUCCAACACAUCAACUAAUUGUAGUGGCAUCGAAAACAGAGUGAGACUCUUAAUUUAAACAGAUUUCACUCCCAGCAUGUUAAACAAGCUGCCUGCGUCUAUAUUCUAAGCUGUAUUAUCUUGGUUUGUGUAUGGCUGCAUAUACUUGGAAGCAAUUAAGCUGAAGGAGGGCAGUUGCGUAGUUUCUCUGCAAAUAGAAAUAAAUGUUUUAUGUUUAAGAGUAUCUCUUGUUUUAAAUGGCUUUUUGCUGUGAAACACUUUAUGCCCGAAGCGUUGAAGCAUCUGUAAGUCUUCUGAUUCCUUUAAUAUCGUUUCCAUAUUAGAUAGCCAGAUGGCGGAGAGCGAUAAUACGCUGUACUAAUCGCUUAGGAAGUCUACAGAGUGGCGCUUUGAGAUUUAGACCCACAGCUACUGCCAUCACUCUUCUGAUGGGAAGCGGCAGAUACUAUUCCAACCAAUUGAGUGUUUUAAAACAUAUAAACACUGAACAAAUGAUCUAAACAGGAAAAGGGCUGAUAAAUACCAUUCAGUGCUAAUGAACAGAAGGUUUUGUCCAGAGGAAAUAAUUCCUGUUACAAUUAUCGGAGAUCAACAUAAGCUUAUGCAACAGCAUGUAUAGAAACCUAAAUAAAGAUUUUGGCUUCUCUAUAACUAUCACAAAAAGGACGCAGAUGUGCACAGCUGAGUUACUCUACGAAGAGGAAAGGAGCCUAAGAAGUAGACUAAUUAUCUCAAUGAGUUUCUUAGUGCUUGAUUUUUAAUUCCAUAACAAUCUUCUGCCAAGUUUAAGAUUUUCUCAAUCCAACAGAUAAAUCAGCAGAAACUUACUUCCUAUAUCAAUGUCCAUAUGCCGGCAUAUUCUGGGGAAUGUUUUUAUACCUUGAAAACACAUGGUUUCCUCUCUGAACAAUGCAGUCUUAAACUAUUGGGUGCAUUUCACAAAAACAAUGUCAGACGUGCCCAUUCCUAACG
Gallus gallus (chicken) is the source of this 4675-nucleotide long non-coding RNA. RefSeq lists it as uncharacterized. The transcript is spliced from 3 exons. The record is from RefSeq and is a predicted model, not a curated record. Lineage: Eukaryota; Metazoa; Chordata; Aves; Galliformes; Phasianidae.